Molecule: long non-coding RNA, 582 nt
Organism: Anthonomus grandis grandis
Lineage: Eukaryota; Metazoa; Arthropoda; Insecta; Coleoptera; Curculionidae
Exons: 3
Source: RefSeq, a predicted model, not a curated record
GCAGCCAAUAAUUCAGUUAAUUUACCAAGUGAUUUACCCUUCAAAGCUACAGGGGUAGCUUUCCUGAAGAGUGCAAAAACUUCUUUAGCUUUCAAAAUGGUAUAUAGUACAAACAGUGAAGCUAAUAUAGACACAUCUGAUCAUUCAUCAUCAACAAUAACUGCAUCUGAGAAUUAUAGUUCUACAGUAACCGUGGAGUCUAGGUCAACAAUUACUAUUUCUCAUCCAAGCCGUUUUUGUUUAACUGCUACACAUUCCCUGACUCUGCCAAGGAAAAGGGUAAAAUCAAAAUGAUAUCCUGAGGACCUAAGCACUGAUGAUUCCACCGUUUCAAGAGCUUAAUCACUUGUCACCAGAUUAUGGAAAAAAAAUAAAGAACAAAAAAUUAAAAUUCGAAGAUUGCAACAAGCAAAUUUGCGCCAAAGAAAUUGAAUUAGAUGUCUCAAGUCAUUAUUAAAAUACUUACAUGAAAUAAUAACAUGAUUUUAUGGAAAAGCCCAACAUACUACAUAUUUUAUUUGACUUGUAAAAGCACUUGUUUGUAUAUUACUACUAAUAAACUCUCUAAUCUAAUCUAUUGUA